CAACGUCCUUCCAAAUCCAAUAUCACAGUUUAAACCCAACAUUAAUUACACCAACUACCACACUUAGAUUAAGAUAGCCGUUGAGACUAAACAGUCUAUAAAUAAGGAUCAACUAUAAGACAAACAUUGAGUUCUACAAUCCUAAUAAGUCUGUAGGAAAUUCUGCUCAUACACUCAACUUGCUUGUUCAAAUCUUCUUCAACAAUCAGCCAUUGUUUCAUCUAGAUCAUCUCAUCACACUUGUUCUUCAUCUGGAGAUAAUUCAUCUGAAUUGUGAUCAUCGACUUCGAUCAUCAUCUCCAGAAUCUGCAAUCUGCUGUCAUCUCAAUCUUCUCCGGAAUAUGUAUUGUUAAUUUACUUCAAACAGUUCAAUAUUGUUUUACAUAAACUAUUUCAUUUCAUCUUCAAUAUUCAAAUACUCAUUACAUUAUAAGAUACAUUACAAUCAUAUAAUUCUAACAAAAUCACUAGAACUACUUUUCCUUUUAGUAAUUCUAAAAGCAAGAAUAUUUUUGAAAUAUUAUACAUUGAUAUUUGGGGGAAAUACAAAAUUCUCACACAUUCUGAACAUCAAUAUUUCCUAAUUAUAGUAGAUGAUUUUAGCAGGGUCACUUAGACCUUACUAAUGAACAAUAAAAGUAGCACACUAGAAAUAUCUAAAACGUUUACAAAACCGACCAUGAACCAAUUAGAUAUGGAAAAGAAUUUCUGUCACAUGCAAUUUCAGAUUAUUUCAAAAUGAAGCUACAACCUCUUAAAGGUCUUUGGUUGUCUUUACUAUGCAAAGGACAACUCAUCCAAAAUAAAGUUCCAACCAAUUAAGACCCAUAAAAGGUAUCUUCUUGGAGUACUCAACAUUGGCCCAAAAACCACCCUAACCCAACAAUUAUUUAAAUUGAGAUCAAUUUUAUACUAAGCUAAUUAUUGAGAUUUAAUCAAUUAAUAUAUACAAUCCUAAAUAUUAAACCCUAAACCAGACAUUUAGGCCUAAACCAUGGAUACUAAACUGAUCGAUCACUCUACUCCAGCCUCGAUCCACCUUUAAUAAUAGAGUCGUUGCACCUGCAUGCAUGUCUUUGCAGUACCACCGGCCUAUAUAAAUAUCUUCACUACAAUGAUAGAUUCAACUUCUCAAUACUUCGAUUCCUUUCUAUCAUUCUUAAUUCCAACCUUCACCUCAAGUGGGAUCACUUCGCUCUUCUCAAUCUAAUUAAAGAUCACACUCUUUUUUUAUAAUGGAGAGUACCUCUUUCUACAGAUGUAGAACUGUCAAUCUCUGAAUGAUAUAUAUACAUACCAAAGUCACAUAAUAUAUCAUCGGAUAAUUAAAUUUAAGUGAAAUGUAUAAAUUAAGUAAGAUUCGAAUUCUGGACUUCAGAAACUUUAAUAGUUCCUGAGACAAGUGAGCCAAUCUUACUUUCUGAAUAUCAUACUCCAAUCUCAUUAAUGGAAUCACAUUGUCUCAUGCUACUAUCAUCGUCAUCUACUAUACUCCAUCCAGUCAUCCAUCUUCUUUCUUCCGUUGCUAUAUAUCGAUCGCUCAACUCUAGUAAUUGUCUGCACUUAUAUUUAUUCCUAUAAUAGAUUAGUUAAGUACUUAAUUAUCUUUCAUGUUGAACCUGCAUCACCAUAAGUCCAUAAUUAGUUAUAUUAAUAUUUAAUAUCAUGCAUUUUUAAUAAUGGCAGACAUAUUUUUUGAUUCAAUCAUAUGCAAUAUACCUUAAUUAAAGAUAUGUCGUGUCGUGUUUAAGGUUAAUUGUAAUGGUAUAAUAGAAUUUAGAACAAGCUAAGUUAGGUAUAUCUUAAUUAGUACUGCACGAUUCUAGAUUGAUUAAACAUGUUAAAUAUUCAUUCAUACAUGCAUGCAUGAUCUAACUAGGUUAUUAAUAUUAAUUAUCAUCUCGAUCUCGAUCUCUAACUAGCUAGAACUCAAAUUCCAAAUCAUUUCCCAUGCCACUUUUAUUCUAUUCUAUAUAUAUAUUCCAAUUCAAAUUGGUAAUUGCACGGAACUAUCUAACAUGCAACCACGUUGGUGAUCUAGCUAGUUCUGAAAUUUCAAACACUGGGGCAAGAGGAAUCCGAUUCGACGUCAAUGUCUAGCUCGAUCAUCCACUUGUCUCGAGAUUUGGGGGUUUAUAUUUUUUCAAUCCCGUCCAGGAUUGAUGAUUAUCUAACCCUAAACAUAGAAUUGAAGGUCUCGAUCAUCAGAAAAUGCAGGCAAAGUAAAAAAGAAGAAGACAUUAAAGACAUUUGUAGUGUAGAUAGAUAGAUAGAUGCUUAUUCGAUCUUCAUGCAUCGAUAAAGCUCUCAUAUAUAUAUAUUGACGUACCUGGCUAGGAGGUAGCAGCUCUUUCUUCUUUUCUCUUUAUGGAGAUCGAAUAUAUGUGUUAUAUUUUAUAUGAUUCUGUCCAAUUAAAUUAACUCCAAAGUGCAAGCUUGGCCAUGUUUGUAUUUCGAUACCCACAGUCGCUAUCAGCAUGUGAUGGAUUGAUUCAUCGGUCCCUUAAAGAAGUUGCAUGGGGAAUUGCUUAGUAAUGGCCGGUAGCUGCUACCUUUCACCUUUCUACACGGCUAAGUAACAGUGGCCUGCUCUAGCUGGGUUGGAGAAUAACAUAACAUGCAUAUAUAUUUUAUCUGGGAUUCUCUUUCGACUUUCAUCUCAAAUCAAUUUAUAAAGGAAACCCUAGCAGAAAAUUUAAGGGAAAUCAGACCAGCUGGUUCAUCUUAGGCCCAUGGGUUUAAGGACUACGAAAUGACCACCUCUACUGAGUUAUACUAGUAUGUAAAUGGGCCGAGUCAGGGUUAGCUGGUUUGGAUUCGGACCCAUGAAGUUGGUUCAAGUCUG
This 2845-nucleotide long non-coding RNA is filed under the name Zostera marina. RNAcentral's name for it is "long non-coding RNA (ZMAR_LNC001043)". The record is from RNAcentral. Lineage: Eukaryota; Viridiplantae; Streptophyta; Magnoliopsida; Alismatales; Zosteraceae.